AAGUCGUAACAAGGUAUCCGUAGGUGAACCUGCGGAUGGAUCAUUAUCACGUAUCCACGUAUCAACCAUUGUGAACCGUCAGGUCAUUCCCUCGCUUAGUCAAACUCAUUGUUUUUUGUGAUGACUCUUGCCGCCCCGCUGGACGGGGUUUUCUCCUUUGUGAAGACAUGCAAAUCUCUGAAAAUAUAGCGGGGCGGCGCUUCACAAAGUGGGUUGCAAGAUCAUCCGAACAGUGUUUUUGUGCGUGUGUAGGGCUCUGAUCAUUUUUUUUCACAACUUAAACCUAAAUUUUAUAACUUUUGAACUGAUUUAUUUCAUACUCUUCGGAGAUGAAAUUCAUUACGAAACAAAGAACAACUCUUAGCAACGGAUAUCUUGGUUCUC
RNAcentral lists this unclassified non-coding RNA (384 nucleotides) under fungal sp. RNAcentral's name for it is "partial internal transcribed spacer region". The stretch from base 1 to 46 matches the Rfam family "Eukaryotic small subunit ribosomal RNA", at positions 1786 to 1831 of the family's 1831-position model. The record is from RNAcentral. Lineage: Eukaryota; Fungi.